GCACAGUGACUCGCCGAUUCACUGUGCGGAAUCGGCGAGUCCGUGAAGAACACGGGUUGCACAGUGUUCUUCACGGAUUUUUUCAAAUUUGUCAUUUUUUGAUCAUUUUUUUUGUUUUUUUCGGCAUGUGAUCUGUUUUUCAGGCUGUAAACAGCUUUAUUCAGAUUUUUCAAGGAUUAAAUGGUGGAAAAAUUGGUUGUUUUUGGAUCAAGAAAAAUUCGG
Molecule: long non-coding RNA, 222 nt
Filed under: Amborella trichopoda
Lineage: Eukaryota; Viridiplantae; Streptophyta; Magnoliopsida; Amborellales; Amborellaceae
Description: long non-coding RNA (ATRI_LNC003932)
Source: RNAcentral